CAAGGUAGUUUUUAUUAUUCCGUUUAAAUAAAGGCAAAGAGGAGUUGGUCCAGGCGGCAGUAAUGACGCGAAUCGUUGGCCCUCGGAAGAGCAGCCUGAAUUCCUGAGGGGAAAAGGGCUCCAUGGGAAAGGGGGUUAUUGCUUUUAAAACAAUUUAAAAACAAAAGGGGAUGGGGGGUAAAAUAAGAAGAUGCCUUGGGGAGGGGGAAUCGAAAAGAAGCGGGAGGAGCGGGGGAUUCUCCCCGA
RNAcentral lists this long non-coding RNA (246 nucleotides) under Physcomitrium patens. RNAcentral's name for it is "long non-coding RNA (PPAT_LNC001715)". Lineage: Eukaryota; Viridiplantae; Streptophyta; Bryopsida; Funariales; Funariaceae. The record is from RNAcentral.